Molecule: transfer RNA, 66 nt
Filed under: marine eukaryotic metagenome
Rfam family: tRNA
About the family: Transfer RNA (tRNA) molecules are approximately 80 nucleotides in length. Their secondary structure includes four short double-helical elements and three loops (D, anti-codon, and T loops). Further hydrogen bonds mediate the characteristic L-shaped molecular structure. tRNAs have two regions of fundamental functional importance: the anti-codon, which is responsible for specific mRNA codon recognition, and the 3' end, to which the tRNAs corresponding amino acid is attached (by aminoacyl-tRNA synthetases). tRNAs cope with the degeneracy of the genetic code in two manners: having more than one tRNA (with a specific anti-codon) for a particular amino acid; and 'wobble' base-pairing, i.e. permitting non-standard base-pairing at the 3rd anti-codon position.
Source: RNAcentral
AGCGUAGCUCAGCGGGUAGAGCUACUGAUUUGUAAUCAGUGGGUCGGGGGUUCGAGUCCCUCCGCU